GUCUGUUGGUGAAGCGGUUAACACACAUGGUUUUCAUCCGUGCAUUGCACGGGUUCGAUCCCCGUACAGACGCCA
This 75-nucleotide transfer RNA is filed under the name Mycoplasmopsis felis. RNAcentral's name for it is "tRNA-Glu". It matches the Rfam family "tRNA". From Rfam's summary of the family: Transfer RNA (tRNA) molecules are approximately 80 nucleotides in length. Their secondary structure includes four short double-helical elements and three loops (D, anti-codon, and T loops). Further hydrogen bonds mediate the characteristic L-shaped molecular structure. tRNAs have two regions of fundamental functional importance: the anti-codon, which is responsible for specific mRNA codon recognition, and the 3' end, to which the tRNAs corresponding amino acid is attached (by aminoacyl-tRNA synthetases). tRNAs cope with the degeneracy of the genetic code in two manners: having more than one tRNA (with a specific anti-codon) for a particular amino acid; and 'wobble' base-pairing, i.e. permitting non-standard base-pairing at the 3rd anti-codon position. The record is from RNAcentral. Lineage: Bacteria; Bacillati; Mycoplasmatota; Mycoplasmoidales; Metamycoplasmataceae.